UGGGCAGUAGCUGAUUGGAGCGUUUAGUUGUUAACUAAAAGGUUGCGGGGUAGUAGCCCGCUUGUCCAG
This 69-nucleotide transfer RNA is filed under the name Microcaecilia dermatophaga (tiny white caecilian). RNAcentral describes it as "tRNA-Asn". It matches the Rfam family "tRNA". Rfam says of the family: Transfer RNA (tRNA) molecules are approximately 80 nucleotides in length. The record is from RNAcentral. Lineage: Eukaryota; Metazoa; Chordata; Amphibia; Gymnophiona; Siphonopidae.